AUACAUCAAUUUCGUAUGCGGCCG
RNAcentral lists this non-coding RNA (24 nucleotides) under Arabidopsis thaliana (thale cress). Lineage: Eukaryota; Viridiplantae; Streptophyta; Magnoliopsida; Brassicales; Brassicaceae. The record is from RNAcentral.